Molecule: unclassified non-coding RNA, 2082 nt
Filed under: Hevea brasiliensis (rubber tree)
Lineage: Eukaryota; Viridiplantae; Streptophyta; Magnoliopsida; Malpighiales; Euphorbiaceae
Source: RNAcentral
AUGCUUGCAAAAACACAAAAGGAUAUUAAUCCAAUCCAGUAAAAUAACAUAGUAGCUGCUGAACGUGAAACAGUUAGCCAAUUGAGAUAGGCGUUUAAUCCUAGCAAUUGAUUCAGUAACAUUGGAGGGAUGCAAAGUAGGACGCUCAUACUUAACACUAGACGUGGGUCACAGAAAAAGUACAGUUCAAACUUAAUAGGCAAAUCCAAGAAAUAAUGUUAUGCUAGAUAGGCAUAUAUAAUGCUGGCAUAACUAAUGCACAGGCAAGAUUUUACCAUUUUGAAAUUGGGGGAGAAAGUCACAUGUAAAGUUAAAAUGACAUUCUAGGCUUUGUGUGCAUGCUACUCACCUGGCCAAGACCCACCAUUAUGGUAACUCCAUCUUGUGUUCUUAGGACCACAUCCAGUGACAAUCCUCCAUUCAUGUCCUUCCAAUGCCGGGUAUGUGACCUUCAAAGGCAUCUCUCCAAUUAAGUCCUCCCACCGCUCCUCAACCAGAUCCAUGAUUGCUGUUGCUUGUGCAGGUGUCACUAAGUAACUCAAAAUGGCAAUACAGUUUCCAACUAAGAACCACCGAAAGUCCAUGCGAGCCGGAUUGACAUUGCCAAUCAGAUAACCUCCUCGCAAAGGCAUGAAAUCAAAUACCCAGUCUGGAAUAGACUCUGGGAUAACAUUAAAUUUAUUGACAGCAGUGUGGGAGUAUUCCUCAGUUUUGUAGCGGUAUAUGUUAUUUAGCUGUGUGAAAUCCAGCCAAUAAUAUUUCUGGAUGUGAUAGCUAAGAGCUGUGAUCCUCUUAUCGAUCCUCUCAAGUAAUUCCUUGCCAUCACGCUCUGGCUUUAGCAUCUGCCUUGCACACCUCAGUGCAAAAUGGAAAAGUGCCUGGAUUUCAAUUGGAUACCCAUAUAUUCCCUGUUUCAAAUCAUAAUGCCAGUGAAACUCACAGUUAUAGUCCAUCGUGAGCGAUUAUGUAAUUUCCUAAAGCAGGAAUAAAAAAUUUUACACCAACUUGAAGAGGGAAAGUACGAGAAAUUCCCAUCUACAAUUGAGUGUUUAUGCACUUAGCCAAUAGGAAACUAUCAAUAUGUAUUUAAAUGUGAGAUUUACCAUGAUUUAGCUAAUAUGACAAUUUUAGAUUGAUUAAAUGUAUAUACCCAAAAUGUCUUUUCUGAAACACUUGGUGUAUUACACCAAUUCAACAAAUGAGUGGCAUGUAUAUUGGAUGUAAAAUAAGAUACGUAACAAUUGUUCAUUGACCUAAUACAAAACUCUCAAUGUGAUAUUAAUUAAUUUGGCAUAUGUUGCCAAGUAUUUCCAAGCAAUCCUGUUCUCUUCUUUGGCAACUAGUUUUAUUAUUUUUCAAGUUUUCUUUUGCAACUACUCGCAAUUCAGCAUAUGGCUUUACAAUCAGAAGGAUUUGCUCCAAUAAAUCCAAAGAAAAAGGAUGAACCAAAGGAGAGAGAAUUUCAUUUCAAGAUCAAGUCAGCCCUCUGCUAUAAAUAUUAUGUUACCGCCUUCUCUGACCAUGAAGACGCAAGGUUCAUUGAAAAAAGAAAUGGUACUCUCAACUCUGAACCUCGUCAUUCAGCGUCCAAAAGAUGAGAAAACGUUUUGCCUGGAUAAAACGCAGAACAACAGGUAAUGAACAAAUCCUAAAUGACAAUAUCUUAAAGUGAAGGACUUGAUGAAAAGACCUGAAGACUAAAUUGGGAUGGCCAUUGUCUCUUGAUGUGAAAUGCAUAUCUACCAAAAUUGGCUCACAGAAAGAUUUAAGGUAGGGAAAAAAGAGAAUAUUCACCAUCCUCCUGUCAAUCAUGCUGCAUCCAUCUGCACACAGGAGUGUGGGGAAAGUGUCAAAGCCGUCUGAGAGGCAAAGAUUGAGUAUCAAUUUCAUUCCUCUCUGAACCUCUGGGAGUUCUGCCAGUGCAUAAUCACGGGUGCUCUUGGUAUAGGACCUAAGCAGUAUAAUCCACCAGAAUCCUAAGUCAACAGGCGCCACCCUCCCAAUUGCACUGCCACCAAAAUCAGCAACCAGGAUGUCCUUUUGACGGUGUGUGUCAAAGAGAACCUAAUAACUUGCAGGCAU